GUUGGGGGCUGUUCAGAGAUCUGGCCAGGAGGCGGGAGGCCCAGCUGGGGUGGUGGCCGCAGAGGUGGUGAGAAGAGUUCAGGGCUGGAUACGCUUCGACAGUGGCGGCCGGGGGACUUCCUGGUGAUGAGAUUCGGGUGUGGGGAAGAGACAGUGGAGCUGGGCAGCGGCUGCUGAGUGAGGUGGGGAAGCUGUGGAUCCACUUUCAGUGGCACAGUAAGGAAUCCUGCACCCUGCCUCUCGUCUGUCCUGUUCCUGGCCUGGACUUAAGGGCCUCUGGCAUUUAUUUCCAAUGUGUUAUGUCAUAGUCUCUUCCUGUGUUGCAAACCACAGGUCCACCCGCUGUCUACUCCUCACAGAACCAGCACAGUGAUAGGGCCGCCGCCUCUUCCUGUGUUGCAAACCACAGGUCCACCCGCUGUCUACUCCUCACAGAACCAGCACAGUGAUAGGGCCGCCGCCUCUUCCUGUGUUGCAAACCACAGGUCCACCCGCUGUCUACUCCUCACAGAACCAGCACAGUGAUAGGGCCGCCGCUGGCUACCACAGGGUGCCAUUUCCACCCCGGUGUCCCCUUCGCCCAGUCUUGGGCUGCAAGGGCUGAGAACUACGCUUCCAGGCCCUGUGGGCACCAGGAUGCCGCUGUCAUCCAGCCAGUGGGCUCGUCCUGUCUCGGGGCCUUGGGGUCUGCCGUUCCUGGCUGGCGCACCCCCUCUCCAGGCUGGGUCCUGAGUGUCCUUGUGUUACAGAGGCUCCCAACCUCCUUCUCCCCAAGGCUGUUCUUCUCCUGAAGCAAGCCUCUGACCACAGGGUCAGCUGACCCCCAGGGUUGGGUCUGGGCUUGGCAGGCAGCACCCUGGGUCGCUGUGGCUUGGGUUCCAUUCCCUUGGGCUAUUGCUCGAGCCCCAUGUCAUGGCCCUGAGCCCCGCUUUCCCGCCAGGCUCAAGACCAUCAGCCUGGUGAUCCGCGGCACGCAGGGGGCCGAGGAGGUGCUCAGGGCCCACGAGGAGCAGCUCAAGGAGGC
This 1024-nucleotide long non-coding RNA is filed under the name Homo sapiens (human). RNAcentral's name for it is "HSALNT0145474". Lineage: Eukaryota; Metazoa; Chordata; Mammalia; Primates; Hominidae. The record is from RNAcentral.